Non-coding RNA from Pelobates cultripes (western spadefoot toad), 219 nucleotides. NCBI's taxonomy places the organism in Eukaryota, Metazoa, Chordata, Amphibia, Anura, Pelobatidae. The record is from the annotation of a GenBank genome assembly.
UGAUAAAAUGAAUGAAACAUUUUAGCUAUAAAGAAAACGUAACAAAUUUAAACUUCUUUAGAAAAAGGGUGACUCGGAGGUAUAAUUGCAUUAUAAACAUAUAUUCGGGGACAUUACAAACCAUUAUCUGGAAAUCUAGUCAUGAACAGGGCUAUACAUAGGGCACAAGGUCACACGUUUAGACUUGAAGAACGGUGAUUUAGUCUUAGGCAAUGUUUC